GCUAGCGGCUGGAGCGGUGUGUGUGUCGCGGCGUGUUGACGAAGCCCUGACGAGAAAGCGACGGCAUCGUAAAAGGAAAAGCCUGUCUAAUGGGGACGAAGUCAUUCAGAUGUUUACAUUUGGCACAUCAACGUGGCACACAAGUGAGGCCUGUUUUGCCAAGUGGUGCAGAAUUCACGAUACCAGCUCCACUACAGUGUCAGCAUGGAAACGUAGAGCACCAACCUAGUAAGCCUUCAGUGACCACGGUUUCACUCAUGCCCUCCCCAUUGAGACUUCAGGGUGAUAAUCAGAUGAGAUCAAACACCAUCUUCAUAAGACAAGCCACACUCCUUGCACCAUUGCCUUAUGCUGUCCAACAUGAUGCAAUGCUGCAACUGAUGGUGAAAAAGCCACUGGCGUGUGCCUGACUCCUGGGCAGGCAGAUACCCUCCAGCUGUGGUGUUGCAUUGGCAUUCAUCGAACAUGCGACAAGUG
Long non-coding RNA from Dermacentor silvarum, 477 nucleotides. RefSeq lists it as uncharacterized. NCBI's taxonomy places the organism in Eukaryota, Metazoa, Arthropoda, Arachnida, Ixodida, Ixodidae. The record is from RefSeq and is a predicted model, not a curated record. The transcript has 4 exons.